This 215-nucleotide unclassified non-coding RNA is filed under the name Hevea brasiliensis (rubber tree). The record is from RNAcentral. Lineage: Eukaryota; Viridiplantae; Streptophyta; Magnoliopsida; Malpighiales; Euphorbiaceae.
CGCAUCAUCAAGCCAAACCACAAUAUAAGGCAAGCAACAAGUAACCUCAAGUAACAAGUAACUAACCUCACGGCAACAAGGCAAAUGGCAUCAACACCAUGCGCUUCAAUGACCAACCAAGCCACCAAACUCACGCAAGACAACAAGCUUCUAACACAAGGCAAGCAAGUCACACGGCAACCUCACAAUGAACACAAUGCGCAACAAUGGACAAG